RNAcentral lists this ribosomal RNA (240 nucleotides) under Mycobacterium tuberculosis. Its description in RNAcentral is "partial 16S ribosomal RNA". It matches the Rfam family "Bacterial small subunit ribosomal RNA", at positions 552 to 791 of the family's 1533-position model. Lineage: Bacteria; Bacillati; Actinomycetota; Actinomycetes; Mycobacteriales; Mycobacteriaceae. The record is from RNAcentral.
UAUUGGGCGUAAAGCGCGCGUAGGCGGUUUUUUAAGUCUGAUGUGAAAGCCCACGGCUCAACCGUGGAGGGUCAUUGGAAACUGGAAAACUUGAGUGCAGAAGAGGAAAGUGGAAUUCCAUGUGUAGCGGUGAAAUGCGCAGAGAUAUGGAGGAACACCAGUGGCGAAGGCGACUUUCUGGUCUGUAACUGACGCUGAUGUGCGAAAGCGUGGGGAUCAAACAGGAUUAGAUACCCUGGU